GAGGACAAGAAGUACAAAAAAGAUAAUGUUAAUAUCAAUAUCAUCUCGAAGUUACCAGAGAGUUGAUAAACAGGGAAAUCUGGUUACCCUGCUGAAAGCAGCCCUAUGAAGAGGCCCAUGUGCUUUGAGUUGGGGUCUCAGCCAACAGCCAUGUGAGUGAGCUUAGAAGUGGAACUGCCAGCCCCAGUCAAAUCUCAGAUAAUGCAGUCUGAGAUGUCACUUGGAUCGUGGCCUUCUGAAAGGCCCUGAGUGAGAACCAUCAGCUGAUCUCAUAUUCUUGACUGGCAGAAACUAUGAAACAAAAAUAAAUGUUUGUUGUUCUCA
This is a non-coding RNA of Macaca mulatta (Rhesus monkey), 324 nucleotides long. The record is from RefSeq and is a predicted model, not a curated record. NCBI's taxonomy places the organism in Eukaryota, Metazoa, Chordata, Mammalia, Primates, Cercopithecidae.